AAAAAGUUUUAUUUUGGCUUAAUACUUUGCUAUAUAUAUUAUAUAUAUGUGAAUUUAAUAUUAAAUAGAAUAACAGGCAGUAUAAAAUUUUAAAAUUUAGGGAAACCUAGAUUUAGGAAUAUAUAAUAGUAUAAACUAAACUUGUGCCAGCAGUUGCGGUUAUACAUGUUAUACAAGUUAAGAUUAUUUAAUAUAGUUAAUUGAAUAAUAUAAUAAUUUAUAAUUGAAUUUAUUAGGUGAAAUUUUAAAUUUAAUUUUUUUAUUUAAGUUUUAUUGAAGCUAGGAAAUUUAUUUUUAAACUAGGAUUAGAUACCCUAUUAUUUUAAAUGUAAUUUUUAUAGUUAAAAUUAUUAAUAGUUAUGGUCUUUAAAAUUAAAAAUUUUGGCGGUAUUUUAGUCUUUUCAGAGGAAUCUGUCUUUUAAUUGAUAAUCCACGAUUAAUUUUACUUUAGUUUUAAAUUUGUAUAUCGUCGUGAUUAGAAUAUUUUAUUAGAAUAAAAAUGUUCAGGGAUUUUUUAAGAAAAUAAAUCAGAUCAAGGUGCAGUUUAUAUUAAAGUUAAGAUGGAUUACAUUAUUUUUAAAUUUGGUUUUGAAUUUUAAAAGUUUAAUUAAAUUGGAUUUGAAAGUAAAUUUUUUCAUAUAAUAAUUUUGAAUUUGCUCUAAAAUAUGCACAUAUCGCCCGUCGCUUUCAUUAAGGUGAAAUAAGUCGUAACAAAGUAGGCUUAUUGGAAAAUGAGCCUAGAAUGAA
This 747-nucleotide non-coding RNA is filed under the name Stricticollis tobias. Lineage: Eukaryota; Metazoa; Arthropoda; Insecta; Coleoptera; Anthicidae. The record is from RNAcentral.